This 404-nucleotide ribosomal RNA is filed under the name Fusobacteriota bacterium. Its description in RNAcentral is "Fusobacteria bacterium partial 16S ribosomal RNA". It matches the Rfam family "Bacterial small subunit ribosomal RNA", at positions 355 to 776 of the family's 1533-position model. Lineage: Bacteria; Fusobacteriati; Fusobacteriota. The record is from RNAcentral.
UGGGGAAUAUUGCACAAUGGAGGGAACUCUGAUGCAGCGACGCCGCGUGAGUGAUGAAGGAAUUCGUUUCGUAAAACUCUGUUCUAUGGGAAGAAAAGGACUGUACCAUAGGAGAAAGCUCCGGCUAAAUAUGUGCCAUCAGCCGCGGUAAUACGUAUGGAGCGAGCGUUGUCCGGAAUUAUUGGGCGUAAAGGGUGCGCAGGCGGCUUUACAAGUUGGAUGUGAAAUAUUGUGGCUCAACCACAAACGUGCAUCCAAAACUGCAAAGCUUGAGUUAAGGAGAGGUAAGUGGAAUUCCUGGUGUAGCGGUGGAAUGCGUAGAUAUCAGGAGGAAUACCGGUGGCGAAGGCGACUUACUGGACUUAAACUGACGCUCAGGCACGAAAGCGUGGGGAGCAAACAGG